GAACGGGCCAACGAGUUACGUUAAGUAGCAAGGUUAAGCACUUAAGGUGCGGAGCCGUAGCGAAAGCGAGUUUUAACUGAGCGUUCAGUUACUUGACGUAGACCCGAAACCGGGCGACCUACCCAUGAGCAGGCUGAAGCGAAAGUAAAAUUUCGUGGAGGUCCGAACCCACGAGCGUUGAAAAGCUCGGGGAUGACUUGUGGGUAGCGGUGAAAUUCCAAUCGAGCCCGGAGAUAGCUGGUUCUCCCCGAAAUAGCUUUAGGGCUAGCCUCAAGGUGAGAGAUACGGAGGUAGAGCACUGAAUGUCCUAGGGGGUAUUGCACCUA
This 326-nucleotide ribosomal RNA is filed under the name Clostridioides difficile. RNAcentral's name for it is "bacterial LSU rRNA". It matches the Rfam family "Bacterial large subunit ribosomal RNA", at positions 613 to 938 of the family's 2925-position model. Lineage: Bacteria; Bacillati; Bacillota; Clostridia; Peptostreptococcales; Peptostreptococcaceae. The record is from RNAcentral.